CGGGGUGCCUGGGCAAUCGCGAGACCUAAGGUUUCGAGGAAAGUCCGGGCUCCACAGCACAGGGUGGUCGAUAACGUCGACUCAGGGUAACCUGCAGGCCAGUGCCACAGAAAAUAGACCGCCGCAUCUCUGGUGCGGUCAGGGUGAAACGGUGAGGUAAGAGCUCACCAGCGCCCCGGGCGACCGGGGUGGCUCGGUAAACCCCACUCGGAGCAAGGUCAAACAGGGCAUGCUAGUAGCCAGUGCGGCGAAGUGCCCGGGUAGGCUGCUUGAACCCACGAGCAAUGGUGGGUCUAGAUGGAUGAUUGCCGCUCGGCAACGAGUACAGAACCCGGCUUAUAGGGCACCCCGUCCC
This 355-nucleotide RNase P RNA is filed under the name Rothia endophytica. RNAcentral describes it as "RNase P RNA component class A". It matches the Rfam family "Bacterial RNase P class A". From Rfam's summary of the family: Ribonuclease P (RNase P) is a ubiquitous endoribonuclease, found in archaea, bacteria and eukarya as well as chloroplasts and mitochondria. Its best characterised activity is the generation of mature 5'-ends of tRNAs by cleaving the 5'-leader elements of precursor-tRNAs. RNAcentral also lists the same sequence under 2 other names. The record is from RNAcentral. Lineage: Bacteria; Bacillati; Actinomycetota; Actinomycetes; Micrococcales; Micrococcaceae.